UCCCAAAGUCAUGGUUAAGUGGGAAACGAUGUGGGAAGGCCCAGACAGCCAGGAUGUUGGCUUAGAAGCAGCCAUCAUUUAAAGAAAGCGUAAUAGCUCACUGGUCGAGUCGGCCUGCGCGGAAGAUGUAACGGGGCUAAACCAUGCACCGAAGCUGCGGCAGCGACACUAUGUGUUGUUGGGUAGGGGAGCGUUCUGUAAGCCUGUGAAGGUGUGCUGUGAGGCAUGCUGGAGGUAUCAGAAGUGCGAAUGCUGACAUAAGUAACGAUAAAGCGGGUGAAAAGCCCGCUCGCCGGAAGACCAAGGGUUCCUGUCCAACGUUAAUCGGGGCAGGGUGAGUCGACCCCUAAGGCGAGGCCGAAAGGCGUAGUCGAUGGGAAACAGGUUAAUAUUCCUGUACUUGGUGUUACUGCGAAGGGGGGACGGAGAAGGCUAUGUUGGCCGGGCGACGGUUGUCCCGGUUUAAGCGUGUAGGCUGGUUUUCCAGGCAAAUCCGGAAAACCAAGGCUGAGGCGUGAUGACGAGGCACUACGGUGCUGAAGUGACAAAUGCCCUGCUUCCAGGAAAAGCCUCUAAGCAUCAGGUAACAUCAAAUCGUACCCCAAACCGACACAGGUGGUCAGGUAGAGAAUACCAAGGCGCUUGAGAGAACUCGGGUGAAGGAACUAGGCAAAAUGGUGCCGUAACUUCGGGAGAAGGCACGCUGAUAUGUAGGUGAAGCGACUUGCUCGUGGAGCUGAAAUCAGUCGAAGAUACCAGCUGGCUGCAACUGUUUAUUAAAAACACAGCACUGUGCAAACACGAAAGUGGACGUAUACGGUGUGACGCCUGCCCGGUGCCGGAAGGUUAAUUGAUGGGGUUAGCGGUAACGCGAAGCUCUUGAUCGAAGCCCCGGUAAACGGCGGCCGUAACUAUAACGGUCCUAAGGUAGCGAAAUUCCUUGUCGGGUAAGUUCCGACCUGCACGAAUGGCGUAAUGAUGGCCAGGCUGUCUCCACCCGAGACUCAGUGAAAUUGAACUCGCUGUGAAGAUGCAGUGUACCCGCGGCAAGACGGAAAGACCCCGUGAACCUUUACUAUAGCUUGACACUGAACAUUGAGCCUUGAUGUGUAGGAUAGGUGGGAGGCUUUGAAGUGUGGACGCCAGUCUGCAUGGAGCCGACCUUGAAAUACCACCCUUUAAUGUUUGAUGUUCUAACGUUGGCCCCUGAUCGGGGUUGCGGACAGUGUCUGGUGGGUAGUUUGACUGGGGCGGUCUCCUCCUAAAGAGUAACGGAGGAGCACGAAGGUUGGCUAAUCCUGGUCGGACAUCAGGAGGUUAGUGCAAUGGCAUAAGCCAGCUUGACUGCGAGCGUGACGGCGCGAGCAGGUGCGAAAGCAGGUCAUAGUGAUCCGGUGGUUCUGAAUGGAAGGGCCAUCGCUCAACGGAUAAAAGGUACUCCGGGGAUAACAGGCUGAUACCGCCCAAGAGUUCAUAUCGACGGCGGUGUUUGGCACCUCGAUGUCGGCUCAUCACAUCCUGGGGCUGAAGUAGGUCCCAAGGGUAUGGCUGUUCGCCAUUUAAAGUGGUACGCGAGCUGGGUUUAGAACGUCGUGAGACAGUUCGGUCCCUAUCUGCCGUGGGCGCUGGAGAACUGAGGGGGGCUGCUCCUAGUACGAGAGGACCGGAGUGGACGCAUCACUGGUGUUCGGGUUGUCAUGCCAAUGGCACUGCCCGGUAGCUAAAUGCGGAAGAGAUAAGUGCUGAAAGCAUCUAAGCACGAAACUUGCCCCGAGAUGAGUUCUCCCUGACUCCUUGAGAGUCCUGAAGGAACGUUGAAGACGACGACGUUGAUAGGCCGGGUGUGUAAGCGCAGCGAUGCGUUGAGCUAACCGGUACUAAUGAACCGUGAGGCUUAACCUUACAACGCCGAAG
RNAcentral lists this ribosomal RNA (1914 nucleotides) under Escherichia coli. Its description in RNAcentral is "partial 23S ribosomal RNA". It matches the Rfam family "Bacterial large subunit ribosomal RNA", at positions 1045 to 2925 of the family's 2925-position model. Lineage: Bacteria; Pseudomonadati; Pseudomonadota; Gammaproteobacteria; Enterobacterales; Enterobacteriaceae. The record is from RNAcentral.